GAUGAAGAACGUAGCGAAAUGCGAUAAGUAAUGUGAAUUGCAGAAUUCAGUGAAUCAUCGAAUCUUUGAACGCACAUUGCGCCCCCUGGUAUUCCGGGGGGCAUGCCUGUUCGAGCGUCAUUUCACCGCUCAAGCCUCGCUUGGUAUUGGGCAACGCGGUCCGCCGCGUGCCUCAAAUCGACCGGCUGGGUCUUCUGUCCCCUAAGCGUUGUGGAAACUAUUCGCUAAAGGGUGUUCGGGAGGCUACGCCGUAAAACAACCCCAUUUCUAAGGUUGACCUCGGAUCAGGUAGGGAUACCCGCUGAACUUAAGCAUAUCAAUAAGCGGAGGA
RNAcentral lists this unclassified non-coding RNA (331 nucleotides) under soil metagenome. Its description in RNAcentral is "partial contains 5.8S ribosomal RNA, internal transcribed spacer 2, and large subunit ribosomal RNA". The stretch from base 1 to 120 matches the Rfam family "5.8S ribosomal RNA", at positions 35 to 154 of the family's 154-position model. The record is from RNAcentral.